Molecule: non-coding RNA, 107 nt
Organism: Acanthosepion pharaonis
Lineage: Eukaryota; Metazoa; Mollusca; Cephalopoda; Sepiida; Sepiidae
Source: the annotation of a GenBank genome assembly
UAUGGCCACAUCAAGUUGAAACACCAACUCCCCUAUUAUCACCAAAGUUAAGCAAUGUUGAGCCUGGUCAGUACCUAGAUGGGUGACUGCUUAGGAAUGUCAGGUAC